This is a non-coding RNA of Danionella cerebrum, 83 nucleotides long. The record is from the annotation of a GenBank genome assembly. NCBI's taxonomy places the organism in Eukaryota, Metazoa, Chordata, Actinopteri, Cypriniformes, Danionidae.
GUUGUCAUGGCCGAGUGGUUAAGGCAAUUGGACUAGAAAUCCAUUGCUGUUUCCCUGUGCAGGUUCAAAUCCUGCUGAUAACG